Molecule: non-coding RNA, 714 nt
Organism: Hydra vulgaris (swiftwater hydra)
Lineage: Eukaryota; Metazoa; Cnidaria; Hydrozoa; Anthoathecata; Hydridae
Source: RefSeq, a predicted model, not a curated record
CCUUACUAAUAGUCAUAUUAUCACUUUACAAAACAUAGUAAUACUAUGUUUUUUAAAGUGAUAAUAUUUAUAAUUUGAGUUAUAUUGUAAAUAUUAUAACUUUAAUUUUAAUUUGUAGUAUAAGGUUUUAUAUGAAAAAAUAUUUAAAUAAUUUAUAUUAUGAAUUACUUGUAAAUAAUAGUAAUUAAUAAUAAAAAUGAUAAACUGCCCAGUUAACCACAACAACUGGGUCCCAGCUGGAAUGUAACUAGAUUAUUGGAACUGAGUUAUGGCUGGGAUUUGAACUGGGUAAAAGAUGGGUCCCAUAUGGUGCAACAAUUGCGGCUAAAAUUAUGCUUGAAAAUAUGAUAAAAUCUUUUAAAAUGACAUAUGCAGUAAAGCAGAUUGAUUUGGAUUGAAUAUACACUUGCCUUUAUAGUGAACAGGAACUUAAUUUGCUAUAUUGUCUGCGACAACACAAAUUCAAAAUGAGGAAGCCUUUUAGCAGAAAUACCUUCAGGUAUCAUUUUUUCCAAAAUCGAGUUGUAAAUGCGUGGAACAGCUUACCAUCCAAAAUAAUAGAAGCUACUUCAAUAAAUAACUUCAAAAACAAACUAGACAGAGCUGGAUUUUGCAGAAACUAUUUGUUAAAACACAAACAAAAGACAAAAUGAGCUGUUACAGUGCAAUAUCUUAUGUUAUUGCACUUCGCAACUGUUUAAAACAGUUGUUACA